RNAcentral lists this ribosomal RNA (468 nucleotides) under uncultured bacterium. RNAcentral's name for it is "partial 16S ribosomal RNA". It matches the Rfam family "Bacterial small subunit ribosomal RNA", at positions 28 to 507 of the family's 1533-position model. The record is from RNAcentral.
AACGAACGCUGGCGGCGUGCUUAACACAUGCCAGUCGAACGGAAAGGCCCUGCUUUUGUGGGGUGCUCGAGUGGCGAACGGGUGAGUAACACGUGAGUAACCUGCCCUUGACUUUGGGAUAACUUCAGGAAACUGGGGCUAAUACCGGAUAGGAGCUCCUGCUGCAUGGUGGGGGUUGGAAAGUUUCGGCGGUUGGGGAUGGACUCGCGGCUUAUCAGCUUGUUGGUGGGGUAGUGGCUUACCAAGGCUUUGACGGGUAGCCGGCCUGAGAGGGUGACCGGCCACAUUGGGACUGAGAUACGGCCCAGACUCCUACGGGAGGCAGCAGUGGGGAAUAUUGCACAAUGGGCGGACGCCUGAUGCAGCAACGCCGCGUGCGGGAUGACGGCCUUCGGGUUGUAAACCGCUUUCGCCUGUGACGAAGCGUGAGUGACGGUAAUGGGUAAAGAAGCACCGGCUAACUACGUG